CGCUGCUGCCGUACGGCCACGGCACCCACUCCGGCUGGGUCGAGCUGUGCCACGACCGCGGCAUCCCGGUGCUCGGGCCCGCCGGGCUGCCG
RNAcentral lists this transfer RNA (92 nucleotides) under Agrococcus terreus. RNAcentral describes it as "tRNA-Arg". Lineage: Bacteria; Bacillati; Actinomycetota; Actinomycetes; Micrococcales; Microbacteriaceae. The record is from RNAcentral.